Molecule: ribosomal RNA, 220 nt
Filed under: uncultured bacterium
Lineage: Bacteria
Description: partial 16S ribosomal RNA
Rfam family: Bacterial small subunit ribosomal RNA
Source: RNAcentral
UAAUGUCUGGGAAACUGCCUGAUGGAGGGGGAUAACUACUGGAAACGGUAGCUAAUACCGCAUAAUGUCGCAAGACCAAAGUGGGGGGACUUCGGGCCUCAUGCCAUCAGAUGUGCCCAGAUGGGAUUAGCUAGUAGGUGGGGUAACGGCUCACCUAGGCGACGAUCCCUAGCUGGUCUGAGAGGAUGACCAGCCACACUGGAACUGAGACACGGUCCAG